RNAcentral lists this ribosomal RNA (505 nucleotides) under uncultured bacterium. RNAcentral describes it as "bacterial SSU rRNA". It matches the Rfam family "Bacterial small subunit ribosomal RNA", at positions 29 to 524 of the family's 1533-position model. The record is from RNAcentral.
AGUGAACGCUGGCGGCAGGCCUAAUACAUGCAAGUCGAACGGCAGCACGGCAGAGCUUGCUCUGUGGGUGGCGAGUGGCGGACGGGUGAGGAAUACAUGGGAAUCUGCCCAGUCGUGGGGAUAACGUAGGGAAACUUACGCUAAUACCGCAUGCGCCCUUCGGGGAAAGCCGGGGACCUUCGGGCCUGGCGCGAUUGGAUGAGCCCAUGUCGGAUUAGCUAGUUGGCGGGGUAAUGGCCCACCAAGGCGACGAUCCGUAGCUGGUCUGAGAGGAUGAUCAGCCACACUGGAACUGAGACACGGUCCAGACUCCUACGGGAGGCAGCAGUAGGGAAUAUUGGACAAUGGGCGCAAGCCUGAUCCAGCCAUGCCGCGUGAGUGAAGAAGGCCCUCGGGUUGUAAAGCUCUUUUGUCCGGAAAGAAAAGCGCCGGGUUAAUACCCUGGUGUCCUGACGGUACCGGAAGAAUAAGCACCGGCUAACUUCGUGCCAGCAGCCGCGGUAAU